GAUGCUGGUGACGUUGCAACGGAGGCUGGGAGCGUUGCAACGGAGGCAGGGCGCGUUGCAACGGAUGCUGGGCGCGUUGCAACGUUGGCUGGGGGCGUUGCAACGGAGGCAGGUCGCGUUGCCACGUUGGCUGGGGGCG
Molecule: non-coding RNA, 139 nt
Organism: Arachis ipaensis
Lineage: Eukaryota; Viridiplantae; Streptophyta; Magnoliopsida; Fabales; Fabaceae
Source: RefSeq, a predicted model, not a curated record